AUGCCUCCUCAAACCACAUCCGGUUCGGCAGUUAGGGUUCCGGCGACCAAGGCGGUGGAGGAUGCGGCCGUUGGGGAGGGCGACCAUGCCGCAGUGACCACGCCGCCGCCGCCGCCUCCCACCUGUCCCAUCUGUUUCGAGCCCUGGACCUGCAGCGGCGGACACCGCAUCUGUUGCAUUCCUUGUGGACAUGUGUACGGCAGGUCAUGUCUAGAGAGGUGGCUCCAUCGUUGCGGCGAUGACAGUGCGAAGUGCCCACAGUGUGGCGAACAAUUUGAACGCGACCUUAUUACCAACCUCUACGCCCCAGGAAAUUUGUGGGAUGGCUGUUGUCGUUUACAGGUUCUCUCACUUUCUUCUGGUGUACUUGUAUAG
RNAcentral lists this ribosomal RNA (375 nucleotides) under Triticum aestivum (bread wheat). RNAcentral's name for it is "partial small subunit ribosomal RNA". The record is from RNAcentral. Lineage: Eukaryota; Viridiplantae; Streptophyta; Magnoliopsida; Poales; Poaceae.